This 72-nucleotide transfer RNA is filed under the name Marmota monax (woodchuck). RNAcentral's name for it is "tRNA.Ala". The record is from RNAcentral. Lineage: Eukaryota; Metazoa; Chordata; Mammalia; Rodentia; Sciuridae.
UGGGGUGUGGCUCAGUGGCUGAGUGCCUUCCUAGCAUGCAUGAGGCUCUGGGUUCCAUCCUCAGCCCCACAA